AUGAACGUUGGCGGCGUGGAUUAGGCAUGCAAGUCGAACGUUAGUUGUAGCAAUACAGCGAAAGUGGCGAAAGGGAGAGUAAUACGUAGGUACCUGCCCUCGGGUCUGGGAUAGCUGCGGGAAACUGCAAUUAAUACCGGAUGACGUCUCUGGACCAAAGGUGUGAUUCCGCCAGGGGAUGGGCCUGCGUCCUAUCAGCUAGUUGGUGUGGUAAUGGCGCACCAAGGCUAAAACGGGUACGGGGUGUGAGAGCAUGCCCCCGCUCACUGGGACUGAGACACUGCCCAGACACCUACGGGUGGCUGCAGUCGAGAAUCUUCCGCAAUGGGCGCAAGCCUGACGGAGCGACGCCGCGUGUGGGAUGAAGGCCUUCGGGUUGUAAACCACUGUCAGUGGGGAGCAAAUGCAUCAGGGUUCUCCCUGGUGUUUGAGCGAUCCGCAGAGGAAGCACAGGCUAAUUCCGU
This 464-nucleotide ribosomal RNA is filed under the name uncultured bacterium. RNAcentral describes it as "bacterial SSU rRNA". It matches the Rfam family "Bacterial small subunit ribosomal RNA", at positions 29 to 506 of the family's 1533-position model. The record is from RNAcentral.